RNAcentral lists this ribosomal RNA (269 nucleotides) under uncultured archaeon. Its description in RNAcentral is "partial 16S ribosomal RNA". It matches the Rfam family "Archaeal small subunit ribosomal RNA", at positions 477 to 746 of the family's 1478-position model. The record is from RNAcentral.
CAGCACCUCAAGUGGUCAGGAUGAUUAUUGGGCCUAAAGCAUCCGUAGCCUGCUUUGUUAGUUUUCGGUUAAAUCCAUAUGCUCAACGUAUGGGCUGCCGGGAAUACUGCAAAGCUAGGGAGUGGGAGAGGUAGACGGUACUCGGUAGGAAGGGGUAAAAUCCUUUGAUCUAUUGAUGACCACCUGUGGCGAAGGCGGUCUACCAGAACACGUCCGACGGUGAGGGAUGAAAGCUGGGGGAGCAAACCGGAUUAGAGACCCGAGUAGUC